This 492-nucleotide ribosomal RNA is filed under the name uncultured bacterium. RNAcentral's name for it is "partial 16S ribosomal RNA". It matches the Rfam family "Bacterial small subunit ribosomal RNA", at positions 29 to 507 of the family's 1533-position model. The record is from RNAcentral.
AGUGAACGCUGGCGGUAGGCCUAACACAUGCAAGUCGAACGGCAGCACAGUAAGAGCUUGCUCUUACGGGUGGCGAGUGGCGGACGGGUGAGGAAUACAUCGGAAUCUACUUGUUCGUGGGGGAUAACGUAGGGAAACUUACGCUAAUACCGCAUACGACCUACGGGUGAAAGCAGGGGAUCUUCGGACCUUGCGCGAUUGAAUGAGCCGAUGUCGGAUUAGCUAGUUGGCGGGGUAAAGGCCCACCAAGGCGACGAUCCGUAGCUGGUCUGAGAGGAUGAUCAGCCACACUGGAACUGAGACACGGUCCAGACUCCUACGGGAGGCAGCAGUGGGGAAUAUUGGACAAUGGGCGCAAGCCUGAUCCAGCCAUACCGCGUGGGUGAAGAAGGCCUUCGGGUUGUAAAGCCCUUUUGUUUGGAAAGAAAAGCAGCAGGUUAAUACCCCGCUGUUCUGACGGUACCCAAAGAAUAAGCACCGGCUAACUUCGUG